This 329-nucleotide ribosomal RNA is filed under the name uncultured eukaryote. RNAcentral's name for it is "partial 18S ribosomal RNA". It matches the Rfam family "Eukaryotic small subunit ribosomal RNA", at positions 1470 to 1796 of the family's 1831-position model. The record is from RNAcentral.
CCCUUAGAUGUCCUGGGCUGCACGCGCGCUACACUGACGAACUCAACGAGCUUAUCACCUUGGCAGAGAUGUCUGGGUAAUCUUUUGAAAGUUCGUCGUGCUGGGGAUAGAUGAUUGUAAUUAUUCGUCUUGAACGAGGAAUUCCUAGUAAGUGUGAGUCAUCAGCUCGCGCUGAUUACGUCCCUGCCCUUUGUGCACACCGCCCGUCGCUCCUACCGAUUGAAUGGUCCGGUGAGGUUCUCGGAUUUUUUCUGUUGUUUGGUUCGCUAAACGAUUGAAGAGAGAAGUUACCCAAACCUUACCAUUUAGAGGAAGGAGAAGUCGUAACA